AGUGAACGCUGGCGGUAGGCCUAACACAUGCAAGUCGAACGGCAGCACAGUAAGAGCUUGCUCUUACGGGUGGCGAGUGGCGGACGGGUGAGGAAUACAUCGGAAUCUACUUUUUCGUGGGGGAUAACGUAGGGAGACUUACGCUAAUACCGCAUACGACCUACGGGUGAAAGCAGGGGAUCUUCGGACCUUGCGCGAUUGAAUGAGCCGAUGUCGGAUUAGCUAGUUGGCGGGGUAAAGGCCCACCAAGGCGACGAUCCGUAGCUGGUCUGAGAGGAUGAUCAGCCACACUGGAACUGAGACACGGUCCAGACUCCUACGGGAGGCAGCAGUGGGGAAUAUUGGACAACGGGCGCAAGCCUGAUCCAGCCAUACCGCGUGGGUGAAGAAGGCCUUCGGGUUGUAAAGCCCUUUUGUUGGGAAAGAAAAGCAGCAGGUUAAUACCCCGCUGUUCUGACGGUACCCAAAGAAUAAGCACCGGCUAACUUCGUG
RNAcentral lists this ribosomal RNA (492 nucleotides) under uncultured bacterium. RNAcentral describes it as "partial 16S ribosomal RNA". It matches the Rfam family "Bacterial small subunit ribosomal RNA", at positions 29 to 507 of the family's 1533-position model. The record is from RNAcentral.